AGAGUUUGAUCAUGGCUCAGGAUGAACGCUAGCGGCAGGCUUAACACAUGCAAGUCGAGGGAUUCAGCAAUGGAGACCGGCAAACGGGUGCGGAACACGUACAGAAUCUACCUUUAUCUGGGGCAUAGCCUUUGGAAACGAGGAUUAAUACCCCAUAAGAUCUUAUUGUGGCAUCACAAAGAGAUUAAAGAUCCGUCGGAUAGAGAUGACUGUGCGUACUAUUAGCUAGUUGGUAAGGUAACGGCUUACCAAGGCUACGAUAGUUAGCUGAUGUGAGAGCAUGAUCAGCCACACGGGCACUGAGACACGGGCCCGACUCCUACGGGAGGCAGCAGUGAGGAAUAUUGGUCAAUGGACGCAAGUCUGAACCAGCCAUGCCGCGUGAAGGAUGAAGGCGUUCUGCGUCGUAAACUUCUUUUAUCUGGGAAGAAACCUACCUUUUCUAAGGUAGCCGACGGUACCAGAGGAAUAAGCACCGGCUAACUCCGUGCCAGCAGCCGCGGUAAUACGGAGGGUGCGAGCGUUAUCCGGAUUUACUGGGUUUAAAGGGUGUGUAGGCGGAUCUUUAAGUCAGUGGUGAAAUCUUCAGGCUCAACCUGGAAACUGCCAUUGAUACUAUUGAUCUUGAAUACUGUGGAGGUGAGCGGAAUGUGUCAUGUAGCGGUGAAAUGCAUAGAGAUGACACAGAACACCGAUUGCGAAGGCAGCUCACUACGCAGUUAUUGACGCUGAGGCACGAAAGCGUGGGGAUCAAACAGGAUUAGAUACCCUAGUAGUCC
This 779-nucleotide ribosomal RNA is filed under the name uncultured bacterium. Its description in RNAcentral is "bacterial SSU rRNA". It matches the Rfam family "Bacterial small subunit ribosomal RNA", at positions 8 to 796 of the family's 1533-position model. The record is from RNAcentral.